This 466-nucleotide ribosomal RNA is filed under the name uncultured bacterium. Its description in RNAcentral is "partial 16S ribosomal RNA". It matches the Rfam family "Bacterial small subunit ribosomal RNA", at positions 339 to 795 of the family's 1533-position model. The record is from RNAcentral.
CUACGGGCCGCUGCAGUCGAGAAUAGUCUACAAUGGACGAAAGUCUGAUAGUGCGACGCCGCGUGGAUGAAGAAGCAUUUCGGUGUGUAAAGUCCUUUUCUGUGUGAGCAAUGUUUUCCAGGUUAAUAGCUUGGAGAAAGCGAUAUUAACACAGGAAUAAGCUCCGGCUAACUCCGUGCCAGCAGCCGCGGUAACACGGGGGGAGCAAGCGUUGUCCGGAAUUACUAGGCGUAAAGGGUAAGUAGGCGGAAUUGUAAGUCAGAUGUUAAAGGCACCGGCUCAACCGGUGUAUGGCAUUUGAUACUGUAAUUCUAGAGUAAGGUGGGGGAAGACGGAAUUCCUGGUGUAGCGGUGGAAUGCGCAGAUAUCAGGAGGAACACCAGAGGCGCAGGCGGUCUUCUAUACCAUUACUGACGCUCAAUUACGAAGGUGUGGGUAUCAAACAGGAUUAGAUACCCUGGUAGUC